RNAcentral lists this ribosomal RNA (329 nucleotides) under uncultured eukaryote. RNAcentral's name for it is "partial 18S ribosomal RNA". It matches the Rfam family "Eukaryotic small subunit ribosomal RNA", at positions 1470 to 1796 of the family's 1831-position model. The record is from RNAcentral.
ACCUUAGAUGUUCUGGGCCGCACGCGCGCUACAAUGAUGAAUUCAACGAGUUUAUAACCUUGGUUGAAAAGCCUGGGUAAUCUUUUGAACUUUCGUCGUGAUGGGGCUAGACCCUUGCAAUUAUUGGUCUCCAACGAGGAAUUCCUAGUAAACGCAAGUCAUCAGCUUGCAUUGAUUACGUCCCUGCCCUUUGUACACACCGCCCGUCGCACCUACCGAUUGAAUGGUCCGGUGAAAUCUUCGGAUUGAGACUUUGAUUUGUUUACUCAAAACGCUGUUUCAAGAAGUUGAUUAAACCUUACCAUUUAGAGGAAGGUGAAGUCGUAACA